UGUGCCAGCAGCCGCGGUAAUACAGAGGGUGCAAGCGUUAAUCGGAAUUACUGGGCGUAAAGCGAGCGUAGGUGGCUUGAUAAGUCAGAUGUGAAAGCCCCGGGCUUAACCUGGGAACGGCAUCUGAUACUGUUAGGCUAGAGUAGGUGAGAGGAAGGUAGAAUUCCAGGUGUAGCGGUGAAAUGCGUAGAGAUCUGGAGGAAUACCGAUGGCGAAGGCAGCCUUCUGGCAUCAUACUGACACUGAGGUUCGAAAGCGUGGGUAGCAAACAGGAUUAGAUACCCUGGUAGUCCACGCCGUAAACGAUGUCUACUAGUCGUUGGGUCCCUUGAGGACUUAGUGACGCAGCUAACGCAAUAAGUAGACCGCCUGGGGAGUACGGCCGCAAGGUUAAAACUCAAAUGAAUUGACGGGGGCCCGCACAAGCAGUGGAGCAUGUGGUUUAAUUCGAUGCAACGCGAAGAACCUUACCUGGUCUUGACAUAUCUAGAAUCCUGCAGAGAUGCGGGAGUGCCUUCGGGAAUUAGAAUACAGGUGCUGCAUGGCUGUCGUCAGCUCGUGUCGUGAGAUGUUGGGUUAAGUCCCGCAACGAGCGCAACCCUUGUCCUUAGUUACCAGCGGUUUGGCCCGGGGAACUCUAAGGAUACUGCCAGUGACAAACUGGAGGAAGGCGGGGGACGACGUCAAGUCAUCAUGGGCCCUUACGACCAGGGCUACACACGUGCUACAAUGGUAGGUACAGAGGGCAGCUACACAGCGAUGUGAUGCGAAUCUCAAAAAGCCUAUCGUAGUCCAGAUUGGAGUCUGCAACUCGACUCCAUGAAGUAGGAAUCGCUAGUAAUCGCGGAUCAGAAUGCCGCGGUGAAUACGUUCCCGGGCCUUGUACACACCGCCCGUCACACCAUGGGAGUUGAUUGCACCAGAAGUGGGUAGCCUAACCUUUUAGGAUGGCGCUCACCACGGUGUGGUUGAUGACUGGGGUGAAGUCGUAACAAGGUAACCGA
RNAcentral lists this ribosomal RNA (1004 nucleotides) under uncultured bacterium. Its description in RNAcentral is "bacterial SSU rRNA". It matches the Rfam family "Bacterial small subunit ribosomal RNA", at positions 504 to 1503 of the family's 1533-position model. The record is from RNAcentral.